Molecule: ribosomal RNA, 667 nt
Filed under: uncultured bacterium
Lineage: Bacteria
Description: partial 16S ribosomal RNA
Rfam family: Bacterial small subunit ribosomal RNA
Source: RNAcentral
GGCCGCGAAUUCGCCCUUAGAGUUUGAUUAUGGCUCAGGACGAACGCUGGCGGCGUGCCUAAUACAUGCAAGUCGAACGCUUCUUUUCCCACCGGAGCUUGCUCCACCGGGAAAAGAGGAGUGGCGAACGGGUGAGUAACACGUGAGUAACCUGCCCAUCAGAAGGGGAUAACACUUGGAAACAGGUGCUAAUACCGUAUAAUAAUCGAAACCGCAUGGUUUCGGUUUGAAAGGCGCUUUACGGUGCCGCUGAUGGAUGGACCCGCGGUGCAUUAGCUAGUUGGUGAGGUAACGGCUCACCAAGGCCACGAUGCAUAGCCGACCUGAGAGGGUGAUCGGCCACAUUGGGACUGAGACACGGCCCAAACUCCUACGGGAGGCAGCAGUAGGGAAUCUUCGGCAAUGGACGAAAGUCUGACCGAGCAACGCCGCGUGAGUGAAGAAGGUUUUCGGAUCGUAAAACUCUGUUGUUAGAGAAGAACAAGGGUGAGAGUAACUGUUCACCCCUUGACGGUAUCUAACCAGAAAGCCACGGCUAACUACGUGCCAGCAGCCGCGGUAAUACGUAGGUGGCAAGCGUUGUCCGGAUUUAUUGGGCGUAAAGCGAGCGCAGGCGGUUUCUUAAGUCUGAUGUGAAAGCCCCCGGCUCAACCGGGGAGGGUCAUUG